GAGUUUGAUCAUGGCUCAGAUUGAACGCUGGCGGCAGGCCUAACACAUGCAAGUCGAACGGUAACAGGAAACAGCUUGCUGUUUCGCUGACGAGUGGCGGACGGGUGAGUAAUGUCUGGGAAACUGCCUGAUGGAGGGGGAUAACUACUGGAAACGGUAGCUAAUACCGCAUAACGUCGCAAGACCAAAGAGGGGGACCUUCGGGCCUCUUGCCAUCGGAUGUGCCCAGAUGGGAUUAGCUAGUAGGUGGGGUAACGGCUCACCUAGGCGACGAUCCCUAGCUGGUCUGAGAGGAUGACCAGCCACACUGGAACUGAGACACGGUCCAGACUCCUACGGGAGGCAGCAGUGGGGAAUAUUGCACAAUGGGCGCAAGCCUGAUGCAGCCAUGCCGCGUGUAUGAAGAAGGCCGUUCGGGUUGUAAAGUACUUUCAGCGGGGAGGAAGGGAGUAAAGUUAAUACCUUUGCUCAUUGACGUUACCCGCAGAAGAAGCACCGGCUAACUCCGUGCCAGCAGCCGCGGUAAUACGGAGGGUGCAAGCGUUAAUCGGAAUUACUGGGCGUAAAGCGCACGCAGGCGGUUUGUUAAGUCAGAUGUGAAAUCCCCGGGCUCAACCUGGGAACUGCAUCUGAUACUGGCAAGCUUGAGUCUCGUAGAGGGGGGUAGAAUUCCAGGUGUAGCGGUGAAAUGCGUAGAGAUCUGGAGGAAUACCGGUGGCGAAGGCGGCCCCCUGGACGAAGACUGACGCUCAGGUGCGAAAGCGUGGGGAGCAAACAGGAUUAGAUACCCUGGUAGUCCACGCCAUAAACGAUGUCGACUUGGAGGUUGUGCCCUUGAGGCGUGGCUUCCGGAGCUAACGCGUUAAGUCGACCGCCUGGGGAGUACGGCCGCAAGGUUAAAACUCAAAUGAAUUGACGGGGGCCCGCACAAGCGGUGGAGCAUGUGGUUUAAUUCGAUGCAACGCGAAGAACCUUACCUGGUCUUGACAUCCACAGAACUUUCCAGAGAUGGAUUGGUGCCUUCGGGAACUGUGAGACAGGUGCUGCAUGGCUGUCGUCAGCUCGUGUUGUGAAAUGUUGGGUUAAGUCCCGCAACGAGCGCAACCCUUAUCCUUUGUUGCCAGCGGUCCGGCCGGGAACUCAAAGGAGACUGCCAGUGAUAAACUGGAGGAAGGUGGGGAUGACGUCAAGUCAUCAUGGCCCUUACGACCAGGGCUACACACGUGCUACAAUGGCGCAUACAAAGAGAAGCGACCUCGCGAGAGCAAGCGGACCUCAUAAAGUGCGUCGUAGUCCGGAUUGGAGUCUGCAACUCGACUCCAUGAAGUCGGAAUCGCUAGUAAUCGUGGAUCAGAAUGCCACGGUGAAUACGUUCCCGGGCCUUGUACACACCGCCCGUCACACCAUGGGAGUGGGUUGCAAAAGAAGUAGGUAGCUUAACCUUCGGGAGGGCGCUUACCACUUUGUGAUUCAUGACUGGGGUGAAGUCGUAACAAGGUAACCGUAGGGGAACCUGCGGUUGGAUCACC
RNAcentral lists this ribosomal RNA (1529 nucleotides) under Escherichia coli DEC11A. RNAcentral describes it as "bacterial SSU rRNA". It matches the Rfam family "Bacterial small subunit ribosomal RNA". Lineage: Bacteria; Pseudomonadati; Pseudomonadota; Gammaproteobacteria; Enterobacterales; Enterobacteriaceae. The record is from RNAcentral.